Liolophura sinensis is the source of this 400-nucleotide long non-coding RNA. RefSeq lists it as uncharacterized. NCBI's taxonomy places the organism in Eukaryota, Metazoa, Mollusca, Polyplacophora, Chitonida, Chitonidae. The record is from RefSeq and is a predicted model, not a curated record. The transcript has 3 exons.
CACACACAUACGUUUGAAGUACAUAUUCUACAGUUCGUAUCCUCCAUUCACCAUUUUACCAAGAUGGCAUGGAACAGGAUCUGUUGUUUUUUAUUGGUCAUCACGGUUUUCAGCGUGACGGCCUCAGCCUUUGUCACCUCACAAACAGACUGUGAACGUUUUGGCGGAAAGUGUGUGCAGCACCAGGAGUACUGUGACGCUAUGGUGGAGCCUCAUCACGACUGUGGAGUUCCUCACCACGUCUGCUGUGUGGAGGUGGUCAGGACGCUGCACUAGUACACAGACACACAGUGGUGCGUCAGACGCCCUAUACAUUUUGUAACAUUGGCCGUCCCCUGAUGUACUAUUGUUUUGCUUAGUUGGAGCAGAAUUAAAAAAUACGGUAAUUAAAAAACACCGA